AUGUUGAUAAUAUAUGACUAUAAAUUGAUAGUCUUGGUAAUUGAGGCUAUUUAUAGAUUUAUAAUGUAUUGUGGUUUAUCUUUUAUAAUUGAGGCUAUUUAUAGAUUUAUAGUGUAUUGUGACUCAAUUUGUUACAAAUAUUUUUGUCAAAACUCUUUAUCCAUCAAUGAUAAGCAAUUUGGUCACAUGAGUAAUUAA
Vicia faba (fava bean) is the source of this 198-nucleotide non-coding RNA. The record is from the annotation of a GenBank genome assembly. Lineage: Eukaryota; Viridiplantae; Streptophyta; Magnoliopsida; Fabales; Fabaceae.